Non-coding RNA from Pangasianodon gigas (Mekong giant catfish), 73 nucleotides. The record is from the annotation of a GenBank genome assembly. Lineage: Eukaryota; Metazoa; Chordata; Actinopteri; Siluriformes; Pangasiidae.
GGCACGGUGGCUUAGUGGUUAGUGCUGCUACCUUGCACCUGUGGGUUUGUGGGCUCGAUUCCCACACUUGCCC